CCAGCGAAUGAUGCAGGUGGAUAUUAGUCCUCCAUCAGGAGACGGAUUACUUGAGAAGGUACACAGCCGCUGGACCAGAUAGGUUGUCUCCAUCNCGCAUGGCUACAUGCCGUCGCUCGUGGGUCUGGCCUGGUUACUGCCGGGUUGAGCUUGCGAGUCGGUCUCGUGGUUGUGCUUCCUUUCUGCUGUGUCUGUUUACAGGUGUCAGCGUGACUGGUGGGCUUGCCUGCUAGUCUGUUGGCAUGCUUCUUGGUGCCUUUAAUCGGGUGUCGGAGGCGGACAGCACGUUUACUUUGAACAAAUUUGAGUGCUCAAAGCAGGCCUUUGUGCCUGAAAAUUCUUGCAUGGAAUAAUGGAAUAGGACUUCGGUUCUAUUUUGUUGGUUUUCGGAUCCGAAGUAAUGGUUAAGAGGGACAGACGGGGGCAUUUGUAUGGCGGUGUUAGAGGUGAAAUUCUUGGAUCGCCGCCAGACAAACUACAGCGAAAGCAUUUGCCAAGGAUGUUUUCAUUGAUCUUGAGCGAAAGUCAGAGGUUCGAAGACGAUCAGAUACCGUCCUAGUUCUGACCAUAAACGAUGCCAACUGACGAUCCGUGGUGGUUCUUUAUGUGUCCCCACGGGCAGUCCCCGGGAAACCCUUAAGUCUUUGGGCUCCGGGGGAAGUAUGGUUGCAAAGCUGAAACUUAAAGGAAUUGACGGAAGGGCACCACCAGGAGUGGAGCCUGCGGCUUAAUUCGACUCAACACGGGAAAACUCACCCGGCCCGGACACUGUGAGGAUUGACAGAUUGAUAGCUCUUUCUUGAUUCGGUGGUUGGUGGUGCAUGGCCGUUCUUAGUUGGUGGAGCGAUUUGUCUGGUUAAUUCCGAUAACGAACGAGACUCUGGCCUGCUAAAUAGUAUGCCUGUCCUCUGUGCUCGUGCAGGUUGCGUUGUCCAUUGCCUCCUCGUGGGGUAGUGGUUACGUUGACCGGCGGGUGCGGCGCAGGUACUUACUUCUUAGAGGGACAAGCGGUAUUCAGUCGCACGAAAUUGAGCAAUAACAGGUCUGUGAUGCCCUUAGAUGUCCGGGGCCGCACGUGCGCUACAAUGACGGUUUCAGCGAGUUUGGAAUCCUGGCCUGAGCAGGUUGGGUAAACUGUAUCAUAACCGUCGUGACUGGGAUCGGGGCUUGCAAUUGUUCCCCGUGAACGAGGAAUUCCUGGUAAGUGCAAGUCAUAAGCUUGCGCUGAUUACGUCCCUGCCUCGUGGCAUAGACCGCCCGUCUUUUCUCGGGCAAUAAACUGUCUGACUUGGAAUACUUGGAGGAUAUUUUUCUUCUGAGUGGAGAUCCAGGUAAGUUGCAAGCUCUCUUAGAUAGCCUUAACAACAGUGUAGCAAUGUUUGGGAUGCG
RNAcentral lists this ribosomal RNA (1389 nucleotides) under Fasciola hepatica (liver fluke). RNAcentral describes it as "SSU rRNA". It matches the Rfam family "Eukaryotic small subunit ribosomal RNA", at positions 645 to 1831 of the family's 1831-position model. The record is from RNAcentral. Lineage: Eukaryota; Metazoa; Platyhelminthes; Trematoda; Plagiorchiida; Fasciolidae.